UGAAUGUCCUAGGGGGUAUUGCACUUACCGAAGACUAUCAAACUCCGAAUGCCGUAUUCUUUUGCUUGGGAGUCAGACUAUGGGUGAUAAGAUUCAUAGUCAAGAGGGCAACAGCCCAGAUCGUCAGCUAAGGUCCCUAAAUGUAAGUUAAGUGGUAAAGGAUGUGGAAUUGCACAGACAACCAGGAUGUUGGCUUAGAAGCAGCCACUCAUUUAAAGAGUGCGUAAUAGCUCACUGGUCGAGUGAUUCUGCGCCGAAAAUUUCCGGGGCUAAAACUUACUACCGAAGCUACGGCAUCAUUAUGAUGGGUAGGGGAGCUUUCUAUGCGGCUUGAAGCAUGACCGUAAGGACAUGUGGACUGCAUAGAAGUGAGAAUGUUGGCAUGAGUAGCGAGAUGUGGGUGAGAAUCCCACAGGCCGUAAACCCAAGGUUUCCAGGGGAAGGUUCGUCCGCCCUGGGUUAGUCAGGACCUAAGCCGAGGCCGAAAGGCGUAGGUGAUGGACAACAGGUUGAUAUUCCUGUACCACCAAUAACCGUUUGAGAAAUGGGAUGACACAGUAGGAUAAGCUAACCGCACUGUUGGUUAUGUGCGGGCAAGUAUUGAGGCAGUUCCGAUAGGCAAAUCCGUCGGAAUAAUGCUGGGGUACGAUGCGGAGCGAAAUUUAGUAGCGAAGUAGCUGAUUUCACACUGUCGAGAAAAGUCUCUAUCGAGGUUAAAGGUGCCUGUACCGCAAACCGACACAGGUGGGUGAGGAGAGUAUCCUAAGGCCAGCGAGAGAACUGUUGUUAAGGAACUCGGCAAAAUGACCCCGUAACUUAGGGAGAAGGGGUGCCUUCGAAAGAAGGCCGCAGAGAAUAGGCCCAAGCGACUGUUUACCAAAAACAUAGGUUUCUGCUAAGUCGCAAGACGAUGUAUAGGAGCUGACGCCUGCCCGGUGCUGGAAGGUUAAGGGGAUCUGUUAGAGCAAUCGAAGCAGUGAACUUAAGCCCCAGUAAACGGCGGCCGUAACUAUAACGGUCCUAAGGUAGCGAAAUUCCUUGUCGGGUAAGUUCCGACCCGCACGAAAGGCGUAACGAUUUGGGCACUGUCUCAACAACAGACUCGGUGAAAUUGUAAUACCGGUGAAGAUGCCGGUUACCUGCGACAGGACGGAAAGACCCCAUGGAGCUUUACUGUAGCUUGACAUUGAGUCUCGGUGCUACAUGUACAGGAUAGGUGGGAGACUAUGAAGCAUGGACGUCAGUCUGUGUGGAGUCAUCCUUGGGAUACCACCCUUGUAGUACUGGGAUUCUAACCAGAGGCCAUGAAUCUGGUCUUGGGACACUGUCAGGUGGACAGUUUGACUGGGGCGGUCGCCUCCCAAAAAGUAACGGAGGCGCUCAAAGGUUCUCUCAGUACGGUCGGAAAUCGUACGAAGAGUGUAAAGGCAAAAGAGAGCUUGAUUGCAAGACAUACAGGUCGAGCAAGGACGAAAGUCGGACUUAGUGAUCCGGUGGUUCCGCAUGGAAGGGCCAUCGCUCAACGGAUAAAAGCUACCCUGGGGAUAACAGGCUGAUCUCCCCCAAGAGUCCACAUCGACGGGGAGGUUUGGCACCUCGAUGUCGGCUCAUCACAUCCUGGGGCUGUAGUAGGUCCCAAGGGUUGGGCUGUUCGCCCAUUAAAGUGGUACGCGAGCUGGGUUCAGAACGUCGUGAGACAGUUCGGUCCCUAUCCGUCGCAGGCGUAGGAAAUUUGAGGAGACCUGUCCUUAGUACGAGAGGACCGGGAUGGACGUACCGCUGGUGUACCAGUUGUUCUGCCAAGGGCAUGGCUGGGUAGCUAAGUACGGAAAGGAUAAGCGCUGAAAGCAUCUAAGCGCGAAGCCCACUUCAAGAUAAGAUUUCCCACCGCAAGGUUAAGAUCCCAGGAAGACUACCUGGUUGA
This 1924-nucleotide ribosomal RNA is filed under the name human gut metagenome. Its description in RNAcentral is "bacterial LSU rRNA". It matches the Rfam family "Bacterial large subunit ribosomal RNA", at positions 911 to 2856 of the family's 2925-position model. The record is from RNAcentral.